CAGAGGGAUAGCCCAGAGAAAUUUGGAUUAAUACCUCAUAGUAUACAGAGUUGGCAUCAACACUGUAUUAAAGUUCCAACGGUAAAAGAUGGGCAUGCGUCCCAUUAGCUAGAUGGUAAGGUAACGGCUUACCAUGGCUACGAUGGGUAGGGGUCCUGAGAGGGAGAUCCCCCACACUGGUACUGAGACACGGACCAGACUCCUACGGGAGGCAGCAGUGAGGAAUAUUGGUCAAUGGACGCAAGUCUGAACCAGUCAUGCCGCGUGCAGGAUGACGGUCCUAUGGAUUGUAAACUGCUUUUGUACGGGAAGAAACAACAUUACGUGUAAUGUCUUGACGGUACCGUAAGAAUAAGGAUCGGCUAACUCCGUGCCAGCAGCCGCGGUAAUACGGAGGAUCCAAGCGUUAUCCGGAAUCAUUGGGUUUAAAGGGUCCGUAGGCGGUUUGGUAAGUCAGUGGUGAAAGCCCAUCGCUCAACGGUGGAACGGCCAUUGAUACUGCCAGACUUGAAUUACUGGGAAGUAACUAGAAUAUGUAGUGUAGCGGUGAAAUGCUUAGAGAUUACAUGGAAUACCAAUUGCGAAGGCAGGUUACUACCGGUGGAUUGACGCUGAUGGACGAAAGCGUGGGUAGCGAACAGGAUUAGAUACCCUGGUAGUCCACGCCGUAAACGAUGGAUACUAGCUGUUGGGGGCAACUUCAGUGGCUAAGCGAAAGUGAUAAGUAUCCCACCUGGGGAGUACGGGCGCAAGCCUGAAACUCAAAGGAAUUGACGGGGGCCCGCACAAGCGGUGGAGCAUGUGGUUUAAUUCGAUGAUACGCGAGGAACCUUACCAAGGCUUAAAUGUAGUCUGACCGAUUUGGAAACAGAUCUUUCGCAAGACAGAUUACAAGGUGCUGCAUGGUUGUCGUCAGCUCGUGCCGUGAGGUGUCAGGUUAAGUCCUAUAACGAGCGCAACCCCUGUUGUUAGUUGCCAUCGAGUCAUGUCGGGAACUCUAACGAGACUGCCAGUGCAAACUGUGAGGAAGGUGGGGAUGACGUCAAAUCAUCACGGCCCUUACGCCUUGGGCUACACACGUGCUACAAUGGCCGGUACAGAGAGCAGCCACUUCGUGAGGAGGAGCGAAUCUAUAAAGCCGGUCACAGUUCGGAUCGGAGUCUGCAACUCGACUCCGUGAAGCUGGAAUCGC
Molecule: ribosomal RNA, 1192 nt
Filed under: uncultured bacterium
Lineage: Bacteria
Description: bacterial SSU rRNA
Rfam family: Bacterial small subunit ribosomal RNA
Source: RNAcentral